UACGUAGGGGGCGAGCGUUAUCCGGAUUCACUGGGUGUAAAGGGAGCGUAGACGGCCAAGCAAGCCAGGGGUGAAAGCCCGGGGCCCAACCCCGGGACUGCCCUUGGAACUGCAUGGCUGGAGUGCGGGAGGGGCAGGCGGAAUUCCUGGUGUAGCGGUGAAAUGCGUAGAUAUCAGGAGGAACACCGGCGGCGAAGGCAGCCUGCUGGACCGCGACUGACGUUGAGGCUCGAAAGCGUGGGGAGCGAACAGG
Molecule: ribosomal RNA, 253 nt
Filed under: uncultured bacterium
Lineage: Bacteria
Description: partial 16S ribosomal RNA
Rfam family: Bacterial small subunit ribosomal RNA
Source: RNAcentral